Molecule: small nucleolar RNA, 146 nt
Organism: Sorex fumeus (smoky shrew)
Lineage: Eukaryota; Metazoa; Chordata; Mammalia; Eulipotyphla; Soricidae
Product: small nucleolar RNA U109
Exons: 1
Source: RefSeq, a predicted model, not a curated record
AGGUAAGUUGGAAGGUCAUGAAAUAAUGUAAUAGAUGUUUAGGGGGCUGGAAAACAUCUAUAACAUGCUUCAUUAAAAAUUACAAAGUUGUCAGAACUACCAACCUUAUAAUAGACGUUGAGUUGUAGUAUAUUUCUUCUAUAUUC